UACAUAGGGUGCGAGCGUUGUCCGGAAUCACUGGGCGUAAAGGGCGCGUAGGUGGCCUGGUAAGUAGGGGGUGAAAUCUCGGAGCUCAACUCCGAAACUGCACUUGAUACUGCCUUGCUCGAGUACUGGAGAGGAGAUUGGAAUUUAUGGUGUAGCAGUGAAAUGCGUAGAGAUCAUAAGGAAGACCAGUGGCGAAGGCGACUGCCUGGACCAGCACUGACACUGAGGCACGAAAGCGUGGGGAGCAAACAGG
This 253-nucleotide ribosomal RNA is filed under the name uncultured bacterium. RNAcentral describes it as "partial 16S ribosomal RNA". It matches the Rfam family "Bacterial small subunit ribosomal RNA", at positions 524 to 776 of the family's 1533-position model. The record is from RNAcentral.